GACGAACCACCCAAACGUUAUUCGGAAUCACUGGGCUUAAAGCGUGCGUAGGCGGUUCGGAAAGUAGGGUGUGAAAUCCCACAGCUCAACUGUGGAACUGCGCUCUAAACUUCCGGGCUAGAGGGAUAUAGAGGUGAGCAGAACAGAUGGUGGAGCGGUGAAAUGCGUUGAUAUCAUCUGGAAUACCGGAGGCGAAGGCGGCUCACUGGGUAUCUUCUGACGCUGAGGUACGAAAGCUAGGGGAGCGAACGGG
RNAcentral lists this ribosomal RNA (253 nucleotides) under uncultured bacterium. RNAcentral describes it as "partial 16S ribosomal RNA". It matches the Rfam family "Bacterial small subunit ribosomal RNA", at positions 524 to 776 of the family's 1533-position model. The record is from RNAcentral.